GACUCUGAGCCGCCCCAACCCUUUCAACGUUAAUUUUCCAGUUCGGGCUGAGAUUUCACAGUGUUUUUAUUAUCUUCAGUCUUUGCUACACCAUUUCGGGCAACUCAUUAAUGGGAGUUCGUCUCAUUCUCCCUCUGCAGCUAUGUCUAACGCUCAAAGUGAAGUGUUCAAAUCGUUGGCGAAAGGAUCGCUGCUCCGCAACAGUUUCCCGAACGAGUCCAAUGGACUAUAUUUCCUCUAGCAUUAGGUGUUGGGCUAGGGCCCGACAUAACUCUCUCUCGAGUCAGCCCAUUGGCAAGAACCAGCAGCCCUAUAACAUCAACUCAGCAGCAGAUCGAAGCAACAUGAUUUGGACAAAGAAUCCACUUAGCUAAAAUUCUUCCUUCACUUUAUUUCAUUUCAUUAUGUUAAUUGUGUUGUAAAAAAUGACUAACACUGUACUUUGUUUUACUUUUCUUAACCCAAUUGAAUCCCCAGGCAGGAAUGUGUGAACAUAGUCGCCAAAACGAUUAAGUGAUGUCUUAUUACAAUUUUGUCGUUUUAAACAGUCACAAAAGUGUUUAUA
Long non-coding RNA from Lycium ferocissimum, 565 nucleotides. RefSeq lists it as uncharacterized. The transcript has 3 exons. The record is from RefSeq and is a predicted model, not a curated record. Lineage: Eukaryota; Viridiplantae; Streptophyta; Magnoliopsida; Solanales; Solanaceae.